UACGUAGGUGGCAAGCGUUGUCCGGAUUUAUUGGGUUUAAAGGGUGCGUAGGCGGCCCUGUAAGUCAGUGCUGAAAUAUCCCAGCUUAACUGGGAGGGUGGCAUUGAUACUGCGGGGCUAGAGUACAGAUGAGGUAGGCGGAAUUGACGGUGUAGCGGAGAAAUGCUUAGAUAUCGUCAAGAACACCUAUAGCGAAGGCAGCUUACUAGGCUGUAACUGACGCUGAGGCACGAAAGUGUGGGGAUCAAACAGG
This 253-nucleotide ribosomal RNA is filed under the name uncultured bacterium. Its description in RNAcentral is "partial 16S ribosomal RNA". It matches the Rfam family "Bacterial small subunit ribosomal RNA", at positions 524 to 776 of the family's 1533-position model. The record is from RNAcentral.